AGUCGAGCGGUAGAGAGAAGCUUGCUUUUCUUGAGAGCGGCGGACGGGUGAGUAAUGCCUAGGAAUCUGCCUGGUAGUGGGGGAUAACGUUCGGAAACGGACGCUAAUACCGCAUACGUCCUACGGGAGAAAGCAGGGGACCUUCGGGCCUUGCGCUAUCAGAUGAGCCUAGGUCGGAUUAGCUAGUUGGUGGGGUAAUGGCUCACCAAGGCGACGAUCCGUAACUGGUCUGAGAGGAUGAUCAGUCACACUGGAACUGAGACACGGUCCAGACCCCUACGGGAGGCAGCAGUGGGGAAUAUUGGACAAUGGGCGAAAGCCUGAUCCAGCCAUGCCGCGUGUGUGAAGAAGGUCUUCGGAUUGUAAAGCACUUUAAGUUGGGAGGAAGGGCAGUAAAUUAAUACUUUGCUGUUUUGACGUUACCGACAGAAUAAGCACCGGCCAACUCUGUGCCAGCAGCCGCGGUAAUACAGAGGGUGCAAGCGUUAAUCGGAAUUACUGGGCGUAAAGCGCGCGUAGGUGGUUAGUUAAGUUGGAUGUGAAAUCCCCGGGCUCAACCUGGGAACUGCAUUCAAAACUGACUGACUAGAGUAUGGUAGAGGGUGGUG
This 608-nucleotide ribosomal RNA is filed under the name uncultured Pseudomonas sp. RNAcentral's name for it is "bacterial SSU rRNA". It matches the Rfam family "Bacterial small subunit ribosomal RNA", at positions 60 to 663 of the family's 1533-position model. Lineage: Bacteria; Pseudomonadati; Pseudomonadota; Gammaproteobacteria; Pseudomonadales; Pseudomonadaceae. The record is from RNAcentral.